AUUGAACGCUGGUGGCAGGCCUAACACAUGCAAGUCGAGCGGAUGAAGGGAGCUUGCUCCUGGAUUCAGCGGCGGACGGGUGAGCAAUGCCUAGGAAUCUGCCUGGUAGUGGGGGAUAACGUCCGGAAACGGGCGCUAAUACCGCAUACGUCCUGAGGGAGAAAGUGGGGGAUCUUCGGACCUCACGCUAUCAGAUGAGCCUAGGUCGGAUUAGCUAGUUGGUGGGGUAAAGGCCUACCAAGGCGACGAUCCGUAACUGGUCUGAGAGGAUGAUCAGUCACACUGGAACUGAGACACGGUCCAGACUCCUACGGGAGGCAGCAGUGGGGAAUAUUGGACAAAGGGCGAAAGCCUGAUCCAGCCAUGCCGCGUGUGUGAAGAAGGUCUUCGGAUUGUAAAGCACUUUAAGUUGGGAGGAAGGGCAGUAAGUUAAUACCUUGCUGCUUUGACGUUACCAACAGAAUAAGCACCGGCUAACUUCGUG
Molecule: ribosomal RNA, 484 nt
Filed under: uncultured bacterium
Lineage: Bacteria
Description: partial 16S ribosomal RNA
Rfam family: Bacterial small subunit ribosomal RNA
Source: RNAcentral